RNAcentral lists this ribosomal RNA (440 nucleotides) under uncultured bacterium. RNAcentral describes it as "partial 16S ribosomal RNA". It matches the Rfam family "Bacterial small subunit ribosomal RNA", at positions 338 to 795 of the family's 1533-position model. The record is from RNAcentral.
CCUACGGGAGGCAGCAGUGGGGGAUAUUGCACAAUGGGGGAAACCCUGAUGCAGCGACGCCGCGUGUGGGAAGACGGUCCUCUGGAUUGUAAACCACUGUCCCCAGGGACGAAGAUGACGGUACCUGGGGAGGAAGCUCCGGCUAACUACGUGCCAGCAGCCGCGGUAAUACGUAGGGAGCGAGCGUUGUCCGGAAUUACUGGGUGUAAAGGGAGCGUAGGCGGGACUGCAAGUUGGGUGUCAAAGCUACCGGCCCAACCGGUAGCCGCACUCAAAACUGCAGUUCUUGAGUGAAGUAGAGGCAGGCGGAAUUCCUAGUGUAGCGGUGAAAGGCGUAGAUAUUAGGAGGAACACCAGUGGCGAAGGCGGCCUGCUGGGCUUUUACUGACGCUGAGGCUCGAAAGUGUGGGGAGCAAACAGGAUUAGAUACCCCGGUAGUC